UAAACCUUCAGAUUAAACAUGAAUACAGAGAGUUUAGACUGUUGGUGAAUCAACAGACCUUAAAAAUCUCCUGCUCUGAGUUACAUGUUUAUUCUUCUGGUUGGAUUCCUGGUUGAAGCUGCUGAUAUAUUUCACCUUCACUCAUCGGCUUCAUUCAGAUGAUUUUCAGCAUCUAAAGGUGUUUCUCUGCUAUGGAUCAGUGUGAGGACAGAGAGGAGGGAGUCCCUCCCUCUAAAAGCUCUCUGUGUGGGGAACAUGACAGCCAGACCAAAGCUCAGAGGAUGCAGCAGCAGAGAGCAGACUCUCCUGAACCCAGCUGUGUGUCCAUGAAGAGUGACCGGUCUAUGGGUCAUCCUUUAAAGUUUAAA
Long non-coding RNA from Scomber japonicus (chub mackerel), 368 nucleotides. RefSeq lists it as uncharacterized. The transcript has 3 exons. The record is from RefSeq and is a predicted model, not a curated record. Lineage: Eukaryota; Metazoa; Chordata; Actinopteri; Scombriformes; Scombridae.